This 433-nucleotide ribosomal RNA is filed under the name uncultured bacterium. RNAcentral describes it as "partial 16S ribosomal RNA". It matches the Rfam family "Bacterial small subunit ribosomal RNA", at positions 29 to 507 of the family's 1533-position model. The record is from RNAcentral.
AGCGAACGCUGGCGGCAUGCCUAACACGUGCAAGUCGAACGAGACCUUCGGGUCUAGUGGCGCACGGGUGCGUAACGCGUGGGAACCUGCCCUUAGGUUCGGAAUAACUCCCCGAAAGGGGUGCUAAUACCGGAUAAUGUCUUCGGACCAAAGAUUUAUCGCCUUUGGAUGGGCCCGCGUUGGAUUAGCUAGUUGGUAGGGUAAAAGCCUACCAAGGCGACGAUCCAUAGCUGGUCUGAGAGGAUGAUCAGCCACACUGGGACUGAGACACGGCCCAGACUCCUACGGGAGGCAGCAGUGGGGAAUAUUGGACAAUGGGCGAAAGCCUGAUCCAGCAAUGCCGCGUGAGUGAUGAAGGCCUUAGGGUUGUAAAGCUCUUUUACCCGGGAUGAUAAUGACAGUACCGGGAGAAUAAGCUCCGGCUAACUCCGUG